UACGUAGGGUGCAAGCGUUGUCCGGAAUUAUUGGGCGUAAAGAGCUCGUAGGCGGUUCGUCGCGUCGGCUGUGAAAACCCGGGGCUCAACCUCGGGCCUGCAGUCGAUACGGGCGGACUUGAGUGCGGUAGGGGAGACUGGAAUUCCUGGUGUAGCGGUGAAAUGCGCAGAUAUCAGGAGGAACACCGGUGGCGAAGGCGGGUCUCUGGGCAGUAACUGACGCUGAGGAGCGAAAGCGUGGGGAGCGAGCAGG
RNAcentral lists this ribosomal RNA (253 nucleotides) under uncultured bacterium. RNAcentral's name for it is "partial 16S ribosomal RNA". It matches the Rfam family "Bacterial small subunit ribosomal RNA", at positions 524 to 776 of the family's 1533-position model. The record is from RNAcentral.